Molecule: non-coding RNA, 20 nt
Filed under: Rattus norvegicus (Norway rat)
Lineage: Eukaryota; Metazoa; Chordata; Mammalia; Rodentia; Muridae
Source: RNAcentral
UUUGACUGUGAAUGGGGAUA